This is a long non-coding RNA of Bradysia coprophila, 213 nucleotides long. NCBI's taxonomy places the organism in Eukaryota, Metazoa, Arthropoda, Insecta, Diptera, Sciaridae. The record is from RefSeq and is a predicted model, not a curated record.
ACUUAGCUAGGCUACAGAAUGUUGCAACUCAGUUUACGUUCUUAUUACCAUUUUUCCGCUUCGAUCGUUAGGAUAUUGUUAGGAUAUCGACACUAAUGUUAUUAUCAAUACGUUCACGAAAAGUAAAAGCCAUGUUUUUGUAAUUGGCGCUCGAAAACGAAUAGCCCCGUGGCGCUGAAAACCUUAAUCCGGCUCUGAUUCAAAUGAAUGUUU